Haliotis rubra (blacklip abalone) is the source of this 645-nucleotide long non-coding RNA. RefSeq lists it as uncharacterized. The transcript is spliced from 3 exons. The record is from RefSeq and is a predicted model, not a curated record. Lineage: Eukaryota; Metazoa; Mollusca; Gastropoda; Lepetellida; Haliotidae.
CCUGUGCGUUCCUUUUUUGAAGAGUGUAUCACUGACUGCAGCAUGCCUCAACUGAUCUCCCUUUGAUAUAUAUGGAUUUGUUCCUCCAAACAGAACGUUGAAAGGGAGGUAACCGUGUUCCGUUCUCCCGCCUGGCCUAAGAAGAGUUCACUUCCGGAAUCACCAUCUAGCCUCCUCAGCUUGAUCGACUUCCUCAGACAGUGGAACGCUGGUGCUCCUUCACCCCUUCUAGUUGUCUGCAGGGACGGAGCCACCAGAAGCGGGCUCUUCUGUGUUAUUGCCAGCGCAGUGCAGCGCCUGCUGUUGGAAAAGGAAGUCGCCCUCCAGCAGACGAUACGCAGCAUACGUUUUGUCCGGAAACAAGUUAUUCCCAACCUGGAACAAUUUGAAUUCUGCUAUGACUCUGUGAAGGCCUACAUGGACAGUUUCCAGGAAUACUCAAACUUUGCUUGAGAUGAAGUUUCAUUGAGUUAGUUCGCUAGGUGUUCUUUGUUGAGUUUUCUUUCUUUUUUCACUUUGUUACAAUUCCAUUAUGUAUGUUUUCUAUUUUUUCGUUUCUUGAAAAUGUAUUUACAAAUCUUCGUUUCUUUUUAAUUCAGGUCGCCUGUGAGCAUUGUUCACAUGACCGACAAUAAAUGCGAUGUC